Molecule: ribosomal RNA, 465 nt
Filed under: Vreelandella stevensii
Lineage: Bacteria; Pseudomonadati; Pseudomonadota; Gammaproteobacteria; Oceanospirillales; Halomonadaceae
Description: partial 16S ribosomal RNA
Rfam family: Bacterial small subunit ribosomal RNA
Source: RNAcentral
CCUACGGGUGGCUGCAGUGGGGAAUAUUGGACAAUGGGGGGAACCCUGAUCCAGCCAUGCCGCGUGUGUGAAGAAGGCCCUCGGGUUGUAAAGCACUUUCAGUGAGGAAGAACGCCUGGUGGUUAAUACCCAUCAGGAAAGACAGCACUCACAGAAGAAGCACCGGCUAACUCCGUGCCAGCAGCCGCGGUAAUACGGAGGGUGCGAGCGUUAAUCGGAAUUACUGGGCGUAAAGCGCGCGUAGGUGGCUUGAUAAGCCGGUUGUGAAAGCCCCGGGCUCAACCUGGGAACGGCAUCCGGAACUGUCAAGCUAGAGUGCAGGAGAGGAAGGUAGAAUUCCCGGUGUAGCGGUGAAAUGCGUAGAGAUCGGGAGGAAUACCAGUGGCGAAGGCGGCCUUCUGGACUGACACUGACACUGAGGUGCGAUAGCGUGGGUAGCAAACAGGAUUAGAUACCCUGGUAGUC